Molecule: ribosomal RNA, 225 nt
Filed under: uncultured Flectobacillus sp.
Lineage: Bacteria; Pseudomonadati; Bacteroidota; Cytophagia; Cytophagales; Flectobacillaceae
Description: partial 16S ribosomal RNA
Rfam family: Bacterial small subunit ribosomal RNA
Source: RNAcentral
UGCGUAGGCGGUUUAUUAAGUCAGUGGUGAAAGACGGUCGCUCAACGAUUGCAGUGCCAUUGAUACUGGUAGACUUGAGUGUGAUUGAGGUAGCUGGAAUGGAUAGUGUAGCGGUGAAAUGCAUAGAUAUUAUCCAGAACACCGAUUGCGAAGGCAGUCUGCUAAACUAUUAUUGACGCUGAGGCACGAAAGCGUGGGGAGCGAACAGGAUUAGAUACCCGAGUA